ACCUUUUGUUUGGCUUGAUGUUACCUGGUUUCUAUGACACUUUCCAUUUCCCAUAGCAGAUAAUAAAAAAUUAGCCUAAGUAGUAUUUUGCUACACAAGGGUAGAGGAAUCUAUAUCCAAAACAUCUGGACUACAUUUGUGAUAUUCACUGUUAAACAUAUACAUAACAGAAACCAAUAGACGUGUGUUGCACACGUCAUUAUUUGGUGGAUAUAUUACGUUUUCUUUUUUUUUUGUAUGAGAUCAUAUACUUAAAAUCAAUUAAUUUGAUACUAGAAAUGUGAUUAUGGGAAACGUAUAGGGGCAAAAGUUUCUUAUAUUUCCAAAAAAUGACCUAAAAGCUUCCAAUGAGUGAGUGUGACGGAU
Molecule: long non-coding RNA, 366 nt
Filed under: Amborella trichopoda
Lineage: Eukaryota; Viridiplantae; Streptophyta; Magnoliopsida; Amborellales; Amborellaceae
Description: long non-coding RNA (ATRI_LNC004695)
Source: RNAcentral